RNAcentral lists this ribosomal RNA (551 nucleotides) under Staphylococcus aureus. RNAcentral's name for it is "partial 23S ribosomal RNA". It matches the Rfam family "Bacterial large subunit ribosomal RNA", at positions 2374 to 2925 of the family's 2925-position model. Lineage: Bacteria; Bacillati; Bacillota; Bacilli; Caryophanales; Staphylococcaceae. The record is from RNAcentral.
UGCGAGACCUACAAGUCGAGCAGGGUCGAAAGACGGACUUAGUGAUCCGGUGGUUCCGCAUGGAAGGGCCAUCGCUCAACGGAUAAAAGCUACCCCGGGGAUAACAGGCUUAUCUCCCCCAAGAGUUCACAUCGACGGGGAGGUUUGGCACCUCGAUGUCGGCUCAUCGCAUCCUGGGGCUGUAGUCGGUCCCAAGGGUUGGGCUGUUCGCCCAUUAAAGCGGUACGCGAGCUGGGUUCAGAACGUCGUGAGACAGUUCGGUCCCUAUCCGUCGUGGGCGUAGGAAAUUUGAGAGGAGCUGUCCUUAGUACGAGAGGACCGGGAUGGACAUACCUCUGGUGUACCAGUUGUCGUGCCAACGGCAUAGCUGGGUAGCUAUGUGUGGACGGGAUAAGUGCUGAAAGCAUCUAAGCAUGAAGCCCCCCUCAAGAUGAGAUUUCCCAACUUCGGUUAUAAGAUCCCUCAAAGAUGAUGAGGUUAAUAGGUUCGAGGUGGAAGCAUGGUGACAUGUGGAGCUGACGAAUACUAAUCGAUCGAAGACUUAAUCAAAA